CCUAUCUCAGAGAUCGAUCUUCAUCUGGUUCUCUCUUGCUGCCUAUCAAGUCGUCAAACUAGACCAUCAGUGAUCUUCAUCUGUUUUCAAGAAAAAUUAUGAUGUCUACUGCAAAUUUCAAAUUGGAAGCUCACCGUUGUAGUCUAACAGUGUUAUUGGACAAUCUUAUUGAUAGCUUAAAGGAUUAUGCAAAUUCAGGUCUUACAUUAAAGGACUAUCUUUUGUUUUUAGAUGGAAGGGCUAAAAGAAUGUUUGGACAUUUAAGAUUCUGUUAUAUGUCAAAAAUAGAUUUUGAUAAGUUAAAACGUGAAGGGAAAUGCUGUCCUGAUGUAACAGAUACAUGUCCCUGUUCUUUUCUAGCUAUGAAAGUAUCUAUCAUACAAAAGCAUAUUAAUGAAAAUGAAACUUUGAAAUCAGCUGGUGACAAUUUUUCUUACUUUUCGCUGGUGAAAAUCGGGUCAAUAGAUUUAGACUUGAAAAGGGACAAGCAGGUGAUCCUGCAUUUCUGAUCUCCAUAUUCAAAACUUUUCCAAGAAGAGAAACCAGAAGUUUGUGUCAAACUCAAACUGAUGGAGUCUGUCAUAUUAAGGAAACAAAAGCUUUGUCAGAUGAAAAAUAUCAUGAAACAAAUGAUUAUAUCAAAAGAGAUUUAUUAACCAGCUUGUACAUCCUUUUUCCUAUUAAUGAUGAUUGAAUAAAUGUCUGUAUUCUACUUUAAUUAUAUGUAUUUGAUGUUUUCUUGUAUUGGAAAUAAAAAUGAAUUGAA
This 766-nucleotide unclassified non-coding RNA is filed under the name Nilaparvata lugens (brown planthopper). RNAcentral's name for it is "uncharacterized LOC120354981, transcript variant X1". Lineage: Eukaryota; Metazoa; Arthropoda; Insecta; Hemiptera; Delphacidae. The record is from RNAcentral.